RNAcentral lists this ribosomal RNA (466 nucleotides) under uncultured bacterium. RNAcentral describes it as "partial 16S ribosomal RNA". It matches the Rfam family "Bacterial small subunit ribosomal RNA", at positions 28 to 507 of the family's 1533-position model. The record is from RNAcentral.
GACGAACGCUGGCGGCGUGCUUAACACAUGCAAGUCGAACGGAAAGGCCCUGCUUGCAGGGUACUCGAGUGGCGAACGGGUGAGUAACACGUGGGUGAUCUGCCCUGCACUUCGGGAUAAGCUUGGGAAACUGGGUCUAAUACCGGAUAGGAACCAUCUUUAGUGUGGUGGUUGGAAAGUUUUUUCGGUGUAGGAUGAGCUCGCGGCCUAUCAGCUUGUUGGUGGGGUAAUGGCCUACCAAGGCGGCGACGGGUAGCCGGCCUGAGAGGGUGUACGGCCACAGUGGGGCUGAGAUACGGCCCAGACUCCUACGGGAGGCAGCAGUGGGGAAUAUUGCACAAUGGGCGCAAGCCUGAUGCAGCGACGCCGCGUGGGGGAUGAAGGCCUUCGGGUUGUAAACUCCUUUCGCUAGGGACGAAGCUUUGCUGUGACGGUACCUAGAUAAGAAGCACCGGCUAACUACGUG